GACACAUUGUAAGAGCUGUAAAGAGAGAGGGAGAGAGAACAGGCAGAACCUGAUAUGUAAAUGAGCAGAGCAAAUGAAACUAACUUUUGACGACCCGAUGAUCAUCCAGACUCUGUUUCUAUUGAGAGAUAAAAGGCUGGUUGAAUGAGUUGCCUGCGAAAACUACUUCAUCUGUAAGAAAACAGGCGUCUGCACCAGUGACUACAGUUACCAUGGAGAUGAAAUGUCACAACGACAUAUUCAUGGGUCAGUGCUCUAAAAUGAGUCUCUCUGGGGAGAGAGAGGAGGGGGGCCCUGCCUCUAAAAUGCAUCUCUCUGGGGGACAUGACACCAAAGCU
Long non-coding RNA from Oncorhynchus masou masou (cherry salmon), 338 nucleotides. RefSeq lists it as uncharacterized. NCBI's taxonomy places the organism in Eukaryota, Metazoa, Chordata, Actinopteri, Salmoniformes, Salmonidae. The transcript is spliced from 4 exons. The record is from RefSeq and is a predicted model, not a curated record.